RNAcentral lists this ribosomal RNA (445 nucleotides) under Mucoromycotina sp. Its description in RNAcentral is "SSU rRNA". It matches the Rfam family "Eukaryotic small subunit ribosomal RNA", at positions 1210 to 1676 of the family's 1831-position model. The record is from RNAcentral. Lineage: Eukaryota; Fungi; Mucoromycota.
AAAACUCACCAGGUCCAGACAUAGUAAGGAUUGACAGAUUGAGAGCUCUUUCUUGAUUCUAUGGGUGGUGGUGCAUGGCCGUUCUUAGUUCGUGGAGUGAUCUGUCUGCUUGAUUGCGUUAACGAACGAGACCUUAACCUCUAAAUAGUUUUACCAACCAUGAUUUGGUAGCCAACUUCUUAGAGGGACUGUCGGCAUCAAGCCGACGGAAGAUUGAGGCAAUAACAGGUCUGUUAUGCCCUUAGAUGUCCUGGGCCGCACGCGCGCUACACUGAUGAAGUCAACGAGUUUAUAACCUUGGCCGGAAGGUCUGGGUAAUCUUUUGAAACUUCAUCGUGCUGGGGAUAGAGCAUUGCAAUUAUUGCUCUUCAACGAGGAAUUCCUAGUAAGCGUGAGUCAUCAGCUCGCGCUGAUUACGUCCCUGCCCUUUGUACACACCGCCCGU